AACGUAGGAGGCAAGCGUUAUCCGGAUUCACUGGGCGUAAAGCGCGUGCAGGUGGUGCGGUAAGUUAGGCGUGAAAUCUCCCGGCUCAACUGGGAGAGGUCGUCUAAUACUACCGUACUUGAGAGCAGAAGAGGAAGAUGGAAUUCCCGGUGUAGUGGUGAAAUGCGUAGAUAUCGGGAGGAACACCAGUGGCGAAGGCGAUCUUCUGGUCUGUUUCUGACACUCAGACGCGAACAGCUAGGGUAGUAAACGGG
Molecule: ribosomal RNA, 254 nt
Filed under: uncultured bacterium
Lineage: Bacteria
Description: partial 16S ribosomal RNA
Rfam family: Bacterial small subunit ribosomal RNA
Source: RNAcentral